This 1022-nucleotide long non-coding RNA is filed under the name Sarcophilus harrisii (Tasmanian devil). Its description in RNAcentral is "lncRNA (ENSSHAG00000021175.1)". Lineage: Eukaryota; Metazoa; Chordata; Mammalia; Dasyuromorphia; Dasyuridae. The record is from RNAcentral.
CCUUGGUUUAGCUUUUAUAGCUUCAAGAUUUUUACUGGUACAUAAUAACACAGUUGCAUUUAUUUACAUUAGAAUCUUCUAAUAACAAAAAUAGCCAUGUCAUACUACUGAAGGUUUCCAAUCGUCCUCCAUAUUUUUCUACUACCCCCAAAGUAAGACCUACUCUCUGUGCUCUUUGGAGCACACGACAGCAUCCAAUAAAGCCGAGUCUAUGUCUGGGCUUCUUCCUAAUCAGGCAAAGGAAUCCCUUUCAGAGUUUUCUGAUUCCUCUAUUUUUCAAGAGAGAUUUAAAGUGCAUCAGGAGGGAUGGAGGAAGAAGGAGGGGGAAGAGAUACAUAUAGAAUGAAAUAAACUCAUGCCUGGACCUGCACUAACCACCAAAAUACAUCUGCGGUUCUGUACAGAAAAGGAUGGUGGGAUAAAAAAUGGCCCAUUCCAUGCACCUCUGCUACCAAACUGUGGCCAGCAAAAAAGGCCAAGGGAAAACCCUAACAAGGAAUGCAAAUGCCACUGGCGUUUGGUGCUGAGAUUGCCGGGUCUGUGUCUCCUCAGCAGGUCCUAGUGAUGCUCUGAGUGAGGAAUCCCUCCAGAUGUUCAUACAAGUCUCACAAAGAACUGGACGGAGAUUCCUCUUGUAGAAAGCACAUCUGGAUUGGGAUCCAUUUGGCUAGGAAACAUUCAGGAAAGAAUAUUGGAUUUCCACGAGGAAAGUCCUAAAAAUUGUCCUUCAUGCCCGGUCCAACCAGUGCUUCAAAAAAUAUUACAAAAAAGUGAUCUCGUAACUGGAAAUAGAUCCAAUAGGGCAGCUGAUUAGCUUAUGCUCAAGUGGGAAAGUGUAAAAGGAGUUAAAAUAAGUAUGUGUAUGUAGGUUUUCACAUUUUGUAUGCUGGCCUUUGCUGGUAAUGUUUUGCAGUCUAAUAAGCCUGAUACCAUUAGAUACUGCUUAGGAGGUUGACUCCACAAGCCAGAAUGACCCACUCUCAGCUCAACUUAUGUUAAAUGGAGCCCACAUUCUUUUUAAU